RNAcentral lists this ribosomal RNA (2917 nucleotides) under Escherichia coli. RNAcentral describes it as "23S ribosomal RNA". It matches the Rfam family "Bacterial large subunit ribosomal RNA". The record is from RNAcentral. Lineage: Bacteria; Pseudomonadati; Pseudomonadota; Gammaproteobacteria; Enterobacterales; Enterobacteriaceae.
GGGUUGUGAGGUUAAGCGACUAAGCGUACACGGUGGAUGCCCUGGCAGUCAGAGGCGAUGAAGGACGUGCUAAUCUGCGAUAAGCGUCGGUGAGGUGAUAUGAACCGUUAUAACCGGCGAUUUCCGAAUGGGGAAACCCAGUGUGUUUCGACACACUAUCAUUAACUGAAUCCAUAGGUUAAUGAGGCGAACCGGGGGAACUGAAACAUCUAAGUACCCCGAGGAAAAGAAAUCAACCGAGAUUCCCCCAGUAGCGGCGAGCGAACGGGGAGGAGCCCAGAGCCUGAAUCAGUGUGUGUGUUAGUGGAAGCGUCUGGAAAGGCGCGCGAUACAGGGUGACAGCCCCGUACACAAAAAUGCACAUAUUGUGAGCUCGAUGAGUAGGGCGGGACACGUGGUAUCCUGUCUGAAUAUGGGGGGACCAUCCUCCAAGGCUAAAUACUCUGACUGACCGAUAGUGAACCAGUACCGUGAGGGAAAGGCGAAAAGAACCCCGGCGAGGGGAGUGAAAAGAACCUGAAACCGUGUACGUACAAGCGGUGGGAGCCUCUUUAUGGGGUGACUGCGUACCUUUUGUAUAAUGGGUCAGCGACUUAUAUUCUGUAGCAAGGUUAACCGAAUAGGGGAGCCGAAGGGAAACCGAGUCUUAACUGGGCGUUAAGUUGCAGGGUAUAGACCCGAAACCCGGUGAUCUAGCCAUGGGCAGGUUGAAGGUUGGGUAACACUAACUGGAGGACCGAACCGACUAAUGUUGAAAAAUUAGCGGAUGACUUGUGGCUGGGGGUGAAAGGCCAAUCAAACCGGGAGAUAGCUGGUUCUCCCCGAAAGCUAUUUAGGUAGCGCCUCGUGAAUUCAUCUCCGGGGGUAGAGCACUGUUUCGGCAAGGGGGUCAUCCCGACUUACCAACCCGAUGCAAACUGCGAAUACCGGAGAAUGUUAUCACGGGAGACACACGGCGGGUGCUAACGUCCGUCGUGAAGAGGGAAACAACCCAGACCGCCAGCUAAGGUCCCAAAGUCAUGGUUAAGUGGGAAACGAUGUGGGAAGGCCCAGACAGCCGAUGUUGGCUUAGAAGCAGCCAUCAUUUAAAGAAAGCGUAAUAGCUCACUGGUCGAGUCGGCCUGCGCGGAAGAUGUAACGGGGCUAAACCAUGCACCGAAGCUGCGGCAGCGACACUAUGUGUUGUUGGGUAGGGGCGUUCUGUAAGCCUGUGAAGGUGGCCUGUGAGGGUUGCUGGAGGUAUCAGAAGUGCGAAUGCUGACAUAAGUAACGAUAAAGCGGGUGAAAAGCCCGCUCGCCGGAAGACCAAGGGUUCCUGUCCAACGUUAAUCGGGGCAGGGUGAGUCGACCCUAAGGCGAGGCCGAAAGGCGUAGUCGAUGGGAAACAGGUUAAUAUUCCUGUACUUGGUGUUACUGCGAAGGGGACGGAGAAGGCUAUGUUGGCCGGGCGACGGUUGUCCCGGUUUAAGCGUGUAGGCUGGUUUUCCAGGCAAAUCCGGAAAACCAAGGCUGAGGCGUGAUGACGAGGCACUACGGUGCUGAAGCGACAAAUGCCCUGCUUCCAGGAAAAGCCUCUAAGCAUCAGGUAACAUCAAAUCGUACCCCAAACCGACACAGGUGGUCAGGUAAGAGAAUACCAAGGCGCUUGAGAGAACUCGGGUGAAGGAACUAGGCAAAAUGGUGCCGUAACUUCGGGAGAAGGCACGCUGAUAUGUAGGUGAAGCGACUUGCUCGUGGAGCUGAAAUCAGUCGAAGAUACCAGCUGGCUGCAACUGUUUAUUAAAAAACACAGCACUGUGCAAACACGAAAGUGGACGUAUACGGUGUGACGCCUGCCCGGUGCCGGAAGGUUAAUUGAUGGGGUUAGCGGUAACGCGAAGCUCUUGAUCGAAGCCCGGUAAACGGCGGCCGUAACUAUAACGGUCCUAAGGUAGCGAAAUUCCUUGUCGGGUAAGUUCCGACCUGCACGAAUGGCGUAAUGAUGGCGAGGCUGUCUCCACCCGAGACUCAGUGAAAUUGAACUCGCUGUGAAGAUGCAGUGUACCCGCGGCAAGACGGAAAGACCCGUGAACCUUUACUAUAGCUUGACACUGAACAUUGAGCCUUGAUGUGUAGGAUAGGUGGGAGGCUUUGAAGUGUGGACGCCAGUCUGCAUGGAGCCGACCUUGAAAUACCACCCUUUAAUGUUUGAUGUUCUAACGUUGGCCCGUAAUCCGGGUUGCGGACAGUGUCUGGUGGGUAGUUUGACUGGGGCGGUCUCCUCCUAAAGAGUAACGGAGGAGCACGAAGGUUGGCUAAUCCUGGUCGGACAUCAGGAGGUUAGUGCAAUGGCAUAAGCCAGCUUGACUGCGAGCGUGACGGCGCGAGCAGGUGCGAAAGCAGGUCAUAGUGAUCCGGUGGUUCUGAAUGGAAGGGCCAUCGCUCAACGGAUAAAAGGUACUCCGGGGAUAACAGGCUGAUACCGCCCAAGAGUUCAUAUCGACGGCGGUGUUUGGCACCUCGAUGUCGGCUCAUCACAUCCCCGGGGCUGAAGUAGGUCCCAAGGGUAUGGCUGUUCGCCAUUUAAAGUGGUACGCGAGCUGGGUUUAGAACGUCGUGAGACAGUUCGGUCCCCAUUCUGCCGUGGGCGCUGGAGAACUGAGGGGGGCUGCUCCUAGUACGAGAGGACCGGAGUGGACGCAUCACUGGUGUUCGGGUUGUCAUGCCAAUGGCACUGCCCGGUAGCUAAAUGCGGAAGAGAUAAGUGCUGAAAGCAUCUAAGCACGAAACUUGCCCCGAGAUGAGUUCUCCUGACUCCUUGAGAGUCCUGAAGGAACGUUGAAGACGACGACGUUGAUAGGCCGGGUGUGUAAGCGCAGCGAUGCGUUGAGCUAACCGGUACUAAUGAACCGUGAGGCUUAACCUUACAACGCCGAAG